Molecule: ribosomal RNA, 459 nt
Filed under: uncultured bacterium
Lineage: Bacteria
Description: partial 16S ribosomal RNA
Rfam family: Bacterial small subunit ribosomal RNA
Source: RNAcentral
CCUACGGGAGGCAGCAGUGAGGAAUAUUGGUCAAUGGGCGGAAGCCUGAACCAGCCAAGUAGCGUGCGGGAUGAAGGCCCUACGGGUCGUAAACUGCUUUUGCACGGGGAUAACACCCUCUACGUGUGGCGGUCUGCAGGUACCGUGCGAAUAAGGGCCGGCUAAUUCCGUGCCAGCAGCCGCGGUAAUACGGAGGGCCCGAGCGUUAUCCGGAUUUAUUGGGCUUAAAGGGAGCGUAGGCGGGCGUUAAAGGUAGCUGGAAAAUCCCGGGGCUCAACCGCGCCCCGCAGUUGAAACUGGACGCCUUGAGUGCACAACAGGCAGGCGGAAUUCGUGGUGUAGCGGUGAAAUGCAUAGAUAUCACGAGGAACCCCGAUUGCGAAGGCAGCCGGCCGGGGUGCGACUGACGCUGAGGCUCGAAGGUGCGGGUAUCAAACAGGAUUAGAUACCCUAGUAGUC